Non-coding RNA from Perkinsus olseni, 74 nucleotides. NCBI's taxonomy places the organism in Eukaryota, Perkinsozoa, Perkinsida, Perkinsidae. The record is from the annotation of a GenBank genome assembly.
GCUCUGGUGGCUCAAUUGGAUAGAGCGUUAGAAUUCUAAGCCGAAGGUUGCGGGUUCAAAUCCCAGAUACAACA